This 375-nucleotide ribosomal RNA is filed under the name unidentified archaeon. RNAcentral's name for it is "bacterial SSU rRNA". It matches the Rfam family "Archaeal small subunit ribosomal RNA", at positions 90 to 467 of the family's 1478-position model. The record is from RNAcentral.
UCAGUAACACGUAGUCAACAUGCCCAGAGGACGUGGAUAACCUCGGGAAACUGAGGAUAAACCGCGAUAGGUCAUAUUUACUGGAAUGUUUUAUGGCUCAAAUCUACAUGGCCUCUGGAUUGGACUGCGGCCGAUCAGGCUGUUGGUGAGGUAAUGGCCCACCAAACCUGUUACCGGUACGGGCUCUGAGAGGAGGAGCCCGGAGAUGGGCACUGAGACAAGGGCCCAGGUCCUAUGGGGCGCAGCAGGCGCGAAACCUCUGCAAUGGGCGAAAGCCUGACAGGGUUACUCUGAGUGAUUCCCGUUAAGGGAAUCUUUUGGCAUCUCUAAAAACGAUGCAGAAUAAGGGGUGGGCAAGUCUGGUGCCAGCCGCCG